GACGAACGCUGGCGGCGUGCUUAACACAUGCAAGUCGAACGGAAAGGCCCUGCUUUUGUGGGGUGCUCGAGUGGCGAACACGUGAGUAUCACGUGUGUAUCCUGCCCUUGACUGUCGGAUAACUUCACGAAACUGGGGCUAAUAUCGCAUAGGAGCUCCUGCUGCACGGUGGGGGUUGGAGAGUUUCGGCGGUUGUGGAUGGACUCGCUGGUUACCAGCUUGAUGGGGUGGUAGGGGCUUACCAAGGGUUUGACGGGUAGCCGGCCUGAGAGGGUGACCGGCCACAUUGGUACUGAGAUACGGCCCAGACUCCUACGGGAGGCAGCAGUGGGGAAUAUUGCACAAUGGGCGGAAGCCUGAUGCAGCAACGCCGCGUGCGGGAUGACGGCCUACGGGUUGUAAACCGAUUUCGCCUGUGACGAAGCGUGAGUGACGGUAAUGGGUAAAGAAGCACCGGCUAACUACGUG
Molecule: ribosomal RNA, 468 nt
Filed under: uncultured bacterium
Lineage: Bacteria
Description: partial 16S ribosomal RNA
Rfam family: Bacterial small subunit ribosomal RNA
Source: RNAcentral